Molecule: non-coding RNA, 745 nt
Organism: Mus caroli (Ryukyu mouse)
Lineage: Eukaryota; Metazoa; Chordata; Mammalia; Rodentia; Muridae
Source: RefSeq, a predicted model, not a curated record
UUUUUAAUGGAGACCUAUGUAAUGUGGCUAGAAAGGCAGAUGUUUGGGCUCAGCUGAAGAUCUCCACACUAUCAUCAUUAAUUCCCAGGAAAGGAGGUUUCCUGUUCUGUAGCCCUAGCCUCUCUGACCUUCCUAAUGCCCUGGACCUCUACCUUGCAGCUUGACAAUGGAAUCACGGUUAGACCUUAUGCUGGUGAUUGAGAGAUAUUUGUGCCACCUCAUGGAAAAAUCCAGAACUGCAGCUUGAACACAGAUGGCAGUAAAGAGGAGGAACACUGAUUCCAGACCUUUUCUGACUCCAGCCAGACCUGAUAUAAGCCCCCUCUGGUACAAGUUAAAAUGGCCACAAGCCUGGAUCCAUGCUGAAAAUAUAAGGAGAUAAACACAAGGAAACCUGAAAUCAACCCUAACAGCAGAAAGUGUCUGCACACAUUUGCUGCAACACUGCCACCAGCCAUUCCAGCUACUCAAGCUCUCAGGAUAUUAGUUCUAAAACAGAAGUAGACAAGGAAUUCGUGUUCCUGAGGGCUAGAACUAGUUCAAGAUAAGGCAAUUAGACUCUGAACCUGCAACAUUCCAAUGUCUGCACAGUACUGCAAUCCUAGUCAGACAGUCCGUCUCUGCAAACACAGCUUCUUCAGAAGUCUUCACACACAAACCCUGGACAUUUUAAACAUUUCCAACUUCCUCGAAAGAUAGUUAAAAAUAACUGUCUUCAGACACACCAAAAGAGGGCACCGGAUCC